Molecule: long non-coding RNA, 1307 nt
Organism: Polistes canadensis
Lineage: Eukaryota; Metazoa; Arthropoda; Insecta; Hymenoptera; Vespidae
Exons: 2
Source: RefSeq, a predicted model, not a curated record
AAAAAAUACAAAUAAGUGAGAAAACUUCGGGGGCCCAUUUUCGAACGAGGACGCGCGACAAUUUUUUUUUCCUUUCCUUCUUUCUUUUUCUUCCUUUUCUUUUAAUAAUUUUGUUUUUUUAUCGAUAAAUUCGUAAGAAUAAAAAAAAGAGUAAUAGAAGAGGGAGAGAAUAAAAAAAAUGAAUUUCGCGCGUCCGCGUUCCUCGGCACGUGUGCGUUUUAUUGCAAACCUUCUUCAGAAUAUUUACAAUAAACAAACGGAACGAAAAAAAGAACACGCAUAUCCAUAUAUAUAAAUAUAUAUAUAUGUGUGUGUGUGUAUGUAUGUGUACGUGUAGUAUAUGUGUGUUUGCUUUUAUGUUUAUGCAUAAUUCAAUACGAUAAUCGUGUUGUUGCAUGGAACCAAUAAUUUACUUAUGAUUUGCAUAUAUGAUAUAUACACACACACACACAUAUAUAUAUAUAUUUAUAUAUACAUAUAAAUAUAAGUACGUGUGAAUUACGAUAUCAGACUCAAAACGUUACGCGUAAUAAUUAAAACUAUUUUCACCGUAUUUCGAGGUGUGCGUGUUUAUAUACACGCUCAAAAUAAUUUCUUUUUUUUUCCUUGUGUGUUAGGUAUUUUUUUUUUUUUUUUUAACACAAACGUGAGUCUGCGUAUCGAAAUUUUACACCCCAUUCUUUUAUUUUUUUUGGUUGAUUUUUGAACGAAUGUAAAUUGAUAAUAUUACAAAUACAAUGCACGUUUAUGUAUGUUGUGUGUUAUACCAAUACAUAUUACGUGUACUUUAAAUACGUACGUACCAAAAAAAAAAAGAACAAAGUAAAAGUAAAAGAAAGUUACAAAAUAAUACCGUACUCAAGAUCGGAGAAACUCGUACUCGUGAUGAUGAUGAUGAUGAUGAUGAUGAUGAAAGAGAUGUAGAGAAAGAGAAGAUGUAUCCAUCCAACCAACUUGCCCCAGGCUCCUGCCCAUCUUUGACACAAGACCAUUCAAGACAACAACAACAACAACCAGAGAACAUCCAAGCAAAUCCCUUAUGGGCUUACGUGUGUGUGAGAGAGCAAUAAGAGAAAUAAAAAAGAAAAUAAUUUUGGUGUACGCGACACAGAUCUAUAAGAAAAAAUUUUUUCACGCGCAAAACUAUUCGAGAUAUUGUUUUAUAUACAUUUUAAAUAGGUAUGUGUGUAUUAUUAUAUUUGAUAUAAGUUUUCUUUACUAAUUUUACUUUACUUUUUUUUUUCUUUUCUUUUUUUUGCCGAAACAAAUGUUCCGUCGUAUCUGGUUCGACGUGUACGUAUGAAAAA